Molecule: long non-coding RNA, 845 nt
Filed under: Amborella trichopoda
Lineage: Eukaryota; Viridiplantae; Streptophyta; Magnoliopsida; Amborellales; Amborellaceae
Description: long non-coding RNA (ATRI_LNC004111)
Source: RNAcentral
GAUGCAACAGUGAUUGAGACCUAAACUCAAUGCAACAGUGGUUGACAUUGACUGUCUAUUCAUGUAUCUUGCUUGCCUUUUUUCUUUUCUUUUCAUCUGGAUCAUCAUCAAGCAUCAUCAUCAUGAAUAGAGUCUUGAGUUGGUGCAUUUAGGACUUAUGCAAAGAUUAAAACUUGGUUAUCAAUCAAGAGAGAGAGACGGAUAUUGAUAUAAUUCUCUUUUAAUUCAUUUGAAACCAGUCUAGGAGGAUAUAGGCUCAAGUUAGAACGGUAAAGGGUCUUGAACCUGAAUUGUGUUUGACAAACUUGUCUAAGCUAUUAGAGACUAGGCAAGUCUGUCAAAUAUUCAUCCUGUCCAAAAAAAAACAAAUAAUGAAAACAGAAGCAUAAUAAGACCGAAUGCUUUUGGCAAAAGGAGGUUACAAUCAUUUUUGGAAGUCAGAUUUGAUAUCGAGUAACUAAAGGCAAAGUUCAAAUGAGAAUUUCUCAAAUUUCAUGCCACCUCAAGCCAUUUGAUUUAACAUCCAUGACUAAAGUUGGUUGUGACCUUCACGUAUUAUGCCAAAGAUAAAUGGUUUCAUAAUAUGCUAUCCCAAUAUAAGCCAUCCAAAAAUCCCAUAUGCAGCAUAAUUCAAGCAAGUUGGAGUGGACUCACCCAAAUUCGUAAAUAUUAUUUGGACAAUAUAAAGUUUGUUCUCGGCUUUCGAGGCGGGCUUACCUCUAUGAUUGAAUCCUAGAUUUUAUUUGCAGACUGAUAGCUUCUCCUUAAGUUUCUGACAGAUACAAGUAGUGAGCACUCAUUGACAUUCUAAUGGAAGUGCAGAGGCUGCACCCACAGAAUUCUUC